UUUUGCCCCCACCAUCACCUCCUUUCUUCUUCCUUCCCCCUCCCCUCCUUCGUCAUAACCAGAUAAGUUUCUCUACCAAUUCACUUUCCCUCUCUACCAACUUUCUCUCUCUAAAUCCCUAUUUUCUGUCCAAUCACAGCUCGCCAUCUGUAAACCGAUUUUCUCUGAAACUUUACAAUUAUCCAAUUACCUCGAAUUUAGCGACUUUUCGCCCGAAUUUUCAAAUAUAUCUAGGGUUUUUUUUGAUUUUUUUGAGGUUUAUCUAAAAUUGAAAUUCAAUCAAUUCCAAUUUUGGAUCAUUCUUUGUUCAAGAAAAUGAUGAGAAGACAAGAUCAUCAGCAUACUAAUCACAAUCAACAAUCUAGGGUUUUAUACGAGUUAUCUUCUUUAGUACUCAACAUCUUGCGCCACCCUCCAUCGCCGUCGUCGCUCAAUUUCUCUGAUCAUCAUCUCUAUCCUCCGUCGUCUUCAUCGUCGGCGGCGGCGGUUAGGCUUCCGCCGCAGAUAACGCCGGCGGGUUUCGCGUCGUUGAUGUUGGGAAUUUCCCUGGCUUUAAUGCUUUGUGGAUCGGUGACGUUCUUCAUAGGGUUCAUGUUGUUGCCUUGGGUUAUUGGGCUUGUUAUGGUGUUCUAUUUUGUCGGCCUUGUUACCAGUAUUUCGGUUUUGGGUCGGGCUUUUCUCUGUUACGCCAUCUCUGCUCCGCCUUCAUCGUCACCUUCUUCGCCUCGGAAAGAUUUUCCUGGUUGAAGCCCCCCUACCAUCCGUUCAAUAAUGCCCUCAUUCAGAUUUAGGAGGAUCUUUCUAGCAAGGAAUUAAACUCAUGACCUUCCUUUCUGCAUGGAAGUUCUUGUAAAGAUGGUUAGGAUAACAAGAGGCACUAUUGCAACAGUAGAGAAGGCGGACACUCGUAUUCCUUGGCUGCUCCGCUUUUGAUAUUCAGGGGAAUUGAUGUGGGCCGAAAGGCUAUUGGAAUUCGGACUGUGGGUAACUGGCUUUUUAAGAUUGUUACUAAAACUUGUGGAUAUGGCUUGGCUUCUUCAUCCGGGGUUGAAGAAUAUGGGGAUACUUUUCUUUUUAGGUUAUGAGAGUUGCUUAAUACAGUGGAUAUUAUAGAAAUGUCAAGAAUAUGAAGUUUCUUUUGUGUUGAAACUGUUAAUUUUUCAUAUCAUGGGCCAUGUUGCUCUCUUUAUGAUGAUCCCAAAUGUGUAAAUUUAAAGCCAUGGGGCAUUAUUAUCUGUAUUUAGGUUCUGGAUCUUAUUUUCCGAUAUUAUUAAGAAAAUUGAGGGGAGAACAUGUUUCAUGAAUACAAGAAUAUAAUGAAUGAAGGCAGGUUUACUAAA
This is an RNA transcript of Spinacia oleracea (spinach), 1340 nucleotides long. RefSeq lists it as uncharacterized. The record is from RefSeq and is a predicted model, not a curated record. Lineage: Eukaryota; Viridiplantae; Streptophyta; Magnoliopsida; Caryophyllales; Amaranthaceae. The transcript is spliced from 3 exons.